This 273-nucleotide ribosomal RNA is filed under the name uncultured bacterium. Its description in RNAcentral is "partial 16S ribosomal RNA". It matches the Rfam family "Bacterial small subunit ribosomal RNA", at positions 524 to 796 of the family's 1533-position model. The record is from RNAcentral.
UACGGAGGGUGCAAGCGUUACUCGGAAUCACUGGGCGUAAAGGAUGCGUAGGCUGGAAAUCAAGUCGAGAGUGAAAUCCAACGGCUCAACCGUUGAACUGCUCUCGAAACUGGUUACCUAGAAUAUGGGAGAGGUAGAUGGAAUUAGUGGUGUAGGGGUAAAAUCCGUAGAUAUCACUAGGAAUACCGAUUGCGAAGGCGAUCUACUGGAACAUUAUUGACGCUGAGGCAUGAAACCGCCUGGAGCAAACCGCAUUAGAUGCCCGUGUAGUCC